Molecule: ribosomal RNA, 460 nt
Filed under: uncultured bacterium
Lineage: Bacteria
Description: partial 16S ribosomal RNA
Rfam family: Bacterial small subunit ribosomal RNA
Source: RNAcentral
CCUACGGGGGGCAGCAGUGAGGAAUAUUGGUCAAUGGCCGGAAGGCUGAACCAGCCAAGCCGCGUGAAGGACGAAGGUGCCAAGCAUUGUAAACUUCUUUUGUCAAGGGACAAAAUCAGGCUCGAGAGCCUGACCGAGGGUACUUGAAGAAAAAGCAUCGGCUAACUCCGUGCCAGCAGCCGCGGUAAUACGGAGGAUGCGAGCGUUAUCCGGAUUUAUUGGGUUAAAGGGGAGCGUAGAUGGGUUGUUAAGUCAGUUGUGAACGUUUGUGGCUCAACCGUAAAAUUGCAAUUGAUACUGGCAGUCUUGAGAUGUCGAGAGGUAUGCGGAAUGCGCAGUGUAGCGGUGAAAUGCUUAGAUAUUGCGCAGAACUCCGAUUGCGAAGGCAGCAUACCGGCGGCGAUCUGACGCUGAGGCACGAAAGCGUGGGUAUCGAACAGGAUUAGAUACCCGUGUAGUC